AAAAAAAAAAGAGAUCUGAAUAUUUGAGAGAGCAAACCGUGAGAGAGAAGGGAGAAAGAAGAAGAAGAAGAGAAAAGAGGGAAAUUAGAAGGGAAAUAGAAAGGAGUUGAAGGAAAUAAGUUUAAAGGCUUAUAGCUUGAUAGCAGGUCAUUUUGUUGAACCUUCCAAACCUGCUUUUUGGUUGUAAUUUGUACCUUCCUUUUAUGUCAAAUUAGUGCUCCAAAACUCUGCAUUAUAUUAACUCUUGUAUUAAGACAAUUCAAUUAUAUUAUGAAGUUGAUUUUGUUAUUAAUGUUGCGUUGAACUCUGAUUGAGUUAGGAUAAGUUUGUGUGUAUGUUUGGGUUCGCAUAGGUAUGGAACCUUUGAGGGGAACCUUGCCUAUGUGCCGGUCAUGGAUCCGGGAUUCGGGUCGUGACCCUUAUCAACUUAUAAUAGUAAUCGUUUUAUACUUACAGGUGGUGAUUAUCGACAGGAUAUGCAGUUUUUAAGCAUGUGUCACUCAUGGUACAUCCAUAUUACAUUUCUUCCUUAGCUUGCAACAAGCAUUGAAGUCUCAUUUUACAAUUAAAUUGUGGUAAACAAUGGUGGCUGGUUUGCACAGAUGAUUGGGAACAGUUUCUGCUUGUGAAAGAGCUCUUGGCCUAAACCUGUGAUGAGUCUGCUCUCAAUCCACUACCUCAAUGGUUAACGCUGAAUUUUCUCCUUAGAGCACAUUAAAAGGUUAAAUUAAAACAAACAAUAGGAUCAAUUUAUAGACCACAAAAAAUUGUUUUUGUUUAUGUAAGAAAUUGAUUGACAAAAUACCUAUACAAAUAUCAUCUCUUUUUUUCCGACAGGACCAACUGUUAAUGUUACUGUGCUGUAAGGCUAGUUGGCUAGAGUUAGCUUAACGUUAGCUAGAGUUGAAUGUGUGUUAAGUGUAUUAUUUUUUCCAAGUGGUAGGUUACAUGGAGCUGAAAUUAUUGAGAGAAGGGCAGUGGGUAGCAGUCGAAAGUGAGCAGAAACCGGGGCAGUAACAGAGAAGAAGAAACAGCAGCAGUUUGUGUGUGUCUUCCUCCAUUGUAAGCCCUUCCUUGUGUGAGUUUUGUACCAGAAAAUUACAGCAAUGAUAUGCUACGUCGAAGUGUGUUUUGUGAGUGUUAUUAGCUUGACAAUGCUACUUCAUGCACUUCCAGAGAAAUUUCAGGGUCUAUAGAGGCCCUGACAGAAGUGAAAUUUGGUUGUCUAGGCAAUGGAAUGUUUGUUGUGCAGCUCUCCAGCAUUACCACAACUGAUGCCAUGCUUGGUCUAUGAAGUGCAGAAUCUUGCACACACAACAUGCCGAUUUGUAUGCAUCUCAGCACUUCGUUUUCAUCACAUGAAUCUCGGAUGGAAGGAUCAACUAUCUCCAUUGUCUUACCUUCAUUCCAAAGAUCCCAUGCCUGCAAUCAGUCGGAAAUUGGAUCAGGUGAGUGAAAAAAUAGCAGUAAAAAACGUUGUGUUGUAUCUCAAACCAGAGCCUAAAUUGGUGACAUUUUGCAUGUACUUACAUAAGCAAUGAGGAUCAUGCGUUCUGUUUGACGGAAGCUAGUAUUCCUUCGGCCACUCACAAUCUCUAGGAGUAGUACUCCAAAGCUAUAAACAUCAGACUUCACUGAAAAUAGGCCUUCCAUUGCAUAUUCAGGUGCCAUAUAACCACUGCAAGAUACAAGUGACAGUCAGAAAAAUCAUAUUGUUGAUUAGAGUUUAACACGAGCAAUCUCAUAGAUAUCAAACUUACUAUGUUCCUACAACUCGGUUUGUGUUUAUUUCACUUUGGUUUCCCCCAAAUAUUCUGGCCAUGCCGAAGUCGGAAAUCUUUGGGUUCAUUUCUUCAUCCAACAAAAUGUUACUAGCCUUUAGGUCCCGAUGAAUGAUUCUUAGUCUUGAAUCCCUAUGGAGAUAAAGAAGACCUCUGGCAAUCCCCUCAAUAAUUGCGAAACGUUUACUCCAGUCUAAUAGAGCUUGCUUCUCGGGAUC
This is a long non-coding RNA of Populus trichocarpa (black cottonwood), 1999 nucleotides long. RefSeq lists it as uncharacterized. The transcript is spliced from 2 exons. Lineage: Eukaryota; Viridiplantae; Streptophyta; Magnoliopsida; Malpighiales; Salicaceae. The record is from RefSeq and is a predicted model, not a curated record.